UCGAGCGAGGCCGGGUAGCAAUACCCGAGUCGAGCGGCGAACGGGUGAGUAACGCGUGGAUACCUGCCUUCGGGUGGGGGAUAACCCGGGGAAACUCGGGCUAAUACCGCAUAUGACCGCGAGGUCAAAGGGGGCCGCAAGGCUCUCGCCGGAAGAGGGGUCCGCGUCCGAUUAGCUAGUUGGUGAGGUAAUGGCUCACCAAGGCGACGAUCGGUAGCCGGCCUGAGAGGGUGAUCGGCCACACUGGAACUGAGACACGGUCCAGACUCCUACGGGAGGCAGCAGUGGGGAAUUUUGCGCAGUGGGGGAAACCCUGACGCAGCAACGCCGCGUGGAGGAUGAAGGUCUUCGGAUUGUAAACUCCUGUCAGUGGGGAAAAAGGGGCGCGGGUUCAUACCCCGUGUCAUUGAUUGUACCCGCAGAGGAAGCCCCGGCUAACUCUGUGCCAGCAGCCGCGGUAAUACAGAGGGGGCAAGCGUUAUUCGGAAUUAUUGGGCGUAAAGGGCGCGUAGGCGGCCUUUCAAGUGGGAGGUGAAAUCCCUCGGCUUAACCGAGGAGCUGCCUCCCAAACUGAAGGGCUUGAGUCCGGGAGAGGUGAGUGGAAUUCCCAGUGUAGCGGUGAAAUGCGUAGAUAUUGGGAGGAACACCAGUGGCGAAGGCGGCUCACUGGACCGGCACUGACGCUGAGGCGCGAAAGCGUGGGGAGCAAACGGGAUUAGAUACCCCGGUAGUCCACGCUGUAAACGAUGAGUGCUUGGUGUAGCGGGUAUCGACCCCUGCUGUGCCGAAGCUAACGCAUUAAGCACUCCGCCUGGGGAGUACGGUCGCAAGGCUGAAACUCAAAG
This 845-nucleotide ribosomal RNA is filed under the name uncultured bacterium. RNAcentral's name for it is "bacterial SSU rRNA". It matches the Rfam family "Bacterial small subunit ribosomal RNA", at positions 62 to 906 of the family's 1533-position model. The record is from RNAcentral.